This 153-nucleotide unclassified non-coding RNA is filed under the name uncultured Ascomycota. RNAcentral describes it as "sequence contains ITS2". The record is from RNAcentral. Lineage: Eukaryota; Fungi; Ascomycota.
AACCCCCUCAAGCGCAGCUUGUUGUUGGGCGUUUGUCCCGCCCCCGGCCGGACUCGCCCCGAAUCCAUUGGCGGCCCCCGCAUUGGGCUAUCGAGCGCAGCAGAAUUGCGCCUCGGGCACAGCGCGCGGGCGACCACUGAGCAACCCCCAUCA